GCUCAGGCAAACACAUAUCCUCGGUAAAGGAACUCGGCAAAUUACUCCUGUACCUUUGGAAGAAGGGAGCCCAUUUUUUAAAACUAUACAUUUUUUGUUUUUUCUUAAAAAAUGGGGUCACAAAAAAGGGAUGGGGAACUGUUUAGCAAAAACACAGGACUUUGCAACGUAGAAAUACUAAGUAUAAAGUCUGACGCCUGCCCAGUGCCGGAAGAUAAGAAUUUGUUGUGAAAGCAACAACUCUGAAGGACCGGUGAACGGCAGCCCUAACUCUAAGGGUUCUAAGGUAGCGAAAUUCCUUGUCGAAUAAUUGUCGACCCGCAUGAAUGGCGUAAUCACCCAUCCGCUGUCUCUACUGAGGUGUGGGCGAAUUUGACAUUCUCGUGAAGAGGCGAGAACACUGCCACGGGACAAUGAGACCCUAUGCACCUUUACUCUAAGCGAAAAUUGCUUUUUUAAAAAUUCUUUUUCAGCAUAGGUGGGAGUAUUCUAAAAAGUACACCAGUGAGAUACCACCAUUGAUUCAUUAAAAAGCCUUUCUAUUGACUGUUAAAAAAUAGAAAUCUUUUCGCUUGGGAGUUUGUCUGGGGCGGAAGCCUCCAAAAAAAUAUCGGGGGCGUGCCAAGGUAUGGAUAAACUGUUUUUGCGGUUUAGAGUCUGACAACCCAGAAACCAUGCCUGACUGUUAGGCCUACAAGCCAAGCAGGGUGUUUUUCAUAUAAGGAAUAAACACAUUCCAAACCUUUUGUUCUAUCGAACAAAAGUGUCUAAAGACCCUUUUGGAAUUACGAAAGUAUGCGGUAGUGAACCAGCACUCUGGAGUGGAAAGAGUGUUGAUCAACGGAUCAAAGGUACGCUAGGGAUAACAGG
This 870-nucleotide ribosomal RNA is filed under the name Tetradesmus obliquus. Its description in RNAcentral is "23S rRNA exon 1". It matches the Rfam family "Bacterial large subunit ribosomal RNA", at positions 1680 to 2481 of the family's 2925-position model. Lineage: Eukaryota; Viridiplantae; Chlorophyta; Chlorophyceae; Sphaeropleales; Scenedesmaceae. The record is from RNAcentral.